CAAUGAAUUUAAGAUUUAUAUAUAAGAUGAAAAUCUUUUUUAGAA
RNAcentral lists this transfer RNA (45 nucleotides) under Clovia sp. 1 QW-2021. Its description in RNAcentral is "partial tRNA-Leu". Lineage: Eukaryota; Metazoa; Arthropoda; Insecta; Hemiptera; Aphrophoridae. The record is from RNAcentral. RNAcentral also lists the same sequence under 1 other name.